This 354-nucleotide ribosomal RNA is filed under the name Podarcis tauricus tauricus. RNAcentral describes it as "partial 16S ribosomal RNA". It matches the Rfam family "Bacterial large subunit ribosomal RNA", at positions 2076 to 2620 of the family's 2925-position model. The record is from RNAcentral. Lineage: Eukaryota; Metazoa; Chordata; Lepidosauria; Squamata; Lacertidae.
UAAACUCAUAAGACGAGAAGACCCUGUGGAGCUUUAAAACCAAGAUCAUUAAACUAUGCUCCUUGGAUUUUUAGUUGGGGCGACUUUGGAGCAAAAAAAACCCUCCAAAACAUAAAUUUAAUUAUUUAGACCAACACACCAAGAAAAUUAUAUUAGACCCAGCAGUAUUUUUUUACUGUCUGACCAAUGAACCAAGUUACCCCAGGGAUAACAGCGCUAUCCUCUUCUAGAGUCCCUAUCGACAAGAGGGUUUACGACCUCGAUGUUGGAUCAGGACACCCCUAUAGUGCAGCCGCUAUAAAAGGUUCGUUUGUUCAACGAUUAAAGUCCUACGUGAUCUGAGUUCAGACCGGA